GAGUUUGAUCGUGGCUCAGAUUGAACGCUGGCGGCAUGCCUUACACAUGCAAGUCGAACGGCAGCAUGAUCUAGCUUGCUAGAUUGAUGGCGAGUGGCGAACGGGUGAGUAAUACAUCGGAACGUGCCCUGUAGUGGGGGAUAACUAGUCGAAAGAUUAGCUAAUACCGCAUACGACCUGAGGGUGAAAGUGGGGGACCGCAAGGCCUCAUGCUAUAGGAGCGGCCGAUGUCUGAUUAGCUAGUUGGUGGGGUAAAGGCCCACCAAGGCGACGAUCAGUAGCUGGUCUGAGAGGACGAUCAGCCACACUGGGACUGAGACACGGUCCAGACUCCUACGGGAGGCAGCAGUGGGGAAUUUUGGACAAUGGGCGAAAGCCUGAUCCAGCAAUGCCGCGUGUGUGAAGAAGGCCUCGGUCGU
This 419-nucleotide ribosomal RNA is filed under the name uncultured microorganism. RNAcentral describes it as "bacterial SSU rRNA". It matches the Rfam family "Bacterial small subunit ribosomal RNA", at positions 9 to 426 of the family's 1533-position model. The record is from RNAcentral.